RNAcentral lists this ribosomal RNA (253 nucleotides) under uncultured bacterium. RNAcentral's name for it is "partial 16S ribosomal RNA". It matches the Rfam family "Bacterial small subunit ribosomal RNA", at positions 524 to 776 of the family's 1533-position model. The record is from RNAcentral.
UACGUAGGGGGCAAGCGUUGUCCGGAUUUAUUGGGCGUAAAGAGCGUGUAGGCGGCUUUACAGGUCCGUUGUGAAAUCUCGAGGCUCAACUUCGAGCUGUCGGUGGAAACUGUCUGGCUAGAGUCCGGAAGAGGAGAAUGGAAUUCCUGGUGUAGCGGUGAAAUGCGCAGAUAUCAGGAAGAACACCCGUGGCGAAGGCGGUUCUCUGGGACGGUACUGACGCUGAGACGCGAAAGCGUGGGGAGCGAACAGG